GGCGCAGUGGCGAAACUUGGCAACCGCGUGCGCUUUGGAAGCGCAUGACCUGGCAGGGUUUUGCGGGUUCAAAUCCCGCCUGCGCCA
RNAcentral lists this transfer RNA (87 nucleotides) under Chloroflexota bacterium. RNAcentral's name for it is "Chloroflexi bacterium (groundwater metagenome) tRNA-Pro". It matches the Rfam family "tRNA". Rfam says of the family: Transfer RNA (tRNA) molecules are approximately 80 nucleotides in length. Lineage: Bacteria; Bacillati; Chloroflexota. The record is from RNAcentral.